AUGGAGGGUCUUCUACAUUGGGAUUUCUCCCUUGGCCAAGCGAUGGAGACUCAGGUGCACAAAGGAUUUGGUACUAUUGUUCAUUUCUCCCCCAUUGGAGAUGCAACGGAGUUUUUCCUAGUGGUGGCUUUCUCCUCUGCCUCCUUCCCCCUUUCGGUUGAUUCGGUGGGUCUUGCUCUACAAUAUUGCAUUUGUGGAUCCUCUCUGGGUUUCAAGGUCAAACAUCUUGCUGGUAGACAUUACCAUUUCUCUGUGGCCUCAAAUAAAGUUGGUCAUUUCAUCUAUGGUCUUAAGGACCAUGUUUGGCCUGAUUUUGUUUGUCAUUUCAACCUCUAUCGACACAAUGCUUGGUUCAACGCUCAACAUGAUCAAAAGUGGCAUUCACAUCAAGAACUUACUGAGGUGGUUUUACGUUCUCCUUUGGCUAUCAAAACAAAGUUUCACUUUACACCUAGUGAUGAUCUUCAACAUAAUAAUUCUGCCAAGGAGUUUGCAAAAUUUGGUCUCUCUAUUCCUCAUUCGAGUGUUGUGAUUGAACAUGAUUCAAACAUUCAAAUGGAUAAUACUAUGGUUCAUACCGACAAUGUUAUUUUUGGUAGUUUCCAAUCGGACAUUUCCAUACACAACAAAGACAACAAUUUUAUCCGUUUUGGCAACUUCCAUUCAGCAUUUACUGUUGAUAAUCAAGAGAAUCAAUCAACAUUUAUUGGAAAUAAUUAUCGGUCCUCUUAUUGGGAUUCCAUUCCAACUUUUAUCCUCUUACACAUUAUGGAUUUCUGA
Molecule: ribosomal RNA, 780 nt
Filed under: Triticum aestivum (bread wheat)
Lineage: Eukaryota; Viridiplantae; Streptophyta; Magnoliopsida; Poales; Poaceae
Description: partial small subunit ribosomal RNA
Source: RNAcentral